UACGUAGGGGGCAAGCGUUGUCCGGAAUCAUUGGGCGUAAAGAGCUCGUAGGCGGCUUGUCACGUCUGCUGUGAAAUCCCGGGGCUCAACCCCGGGCGUGCAGUGGAUACGGGCUGGCUAGAGGCAGGCAGGGGAGAACGGAAUUCCCGGUGUAGCGGUGAAAUGCGCAGAUAUCGGGAGGAACACCGGUGGCGAAGGCGGUUCUCUGGGCCUGUACUGACGCUGAGGAGCGAAAGCGUGGGGAGCGAACAGG
Molecule: ribosomal RNA, 253 nt
Filed under: uncultured bacterium
Lineage: Bacteria
Description: partial 16S ribosomal RNA
Rfam family: Bacterial small subunit ribosomal RNA
Source: RNAcentral